GACGAACGCUGGCGGCGUGGAUUAGGCAUGCAAGUCGAACGGUAGGGUUCCUUCGGGGACCUGAGAGUGGCGAACGGGUGAGUAACACGUAGGUAAUCUACCCUCAAAUCGGGGACAACCCAGGGAAACUUGGGCUAAUACCGGAUGAGUGCGCUUUCGGGUGCAUAAAAGGUGGCGUAAGCUGCUGUUUGGGGAUGAGCCUGCGCUCUAUUAGUUAGUUGGUGAGGUAACGGCUUACCAAGGCGAUGAUAGAUAGGCGGCCUUAACGGGUGGUCGCCCACACUGGGAUUGAGAUACGGCCCAGACUCCUACGGGAGGCAGCAGUCGAGAAUAGUCUACAAUGGACGAAAGUCUGAUAGUGCGACGCCGCGUGAACGAAGAAGCCCUUCGGGGUGUAAAGUUCUUUUAUAUGUGAGCAAUGCUUCCUAGGUGAAUAGUUUAGGGAGAGAGAUAUUAGCAUAUGAAUAAGCAACGGCUAACUCCGUG
Molecule: ribosomal RNA, 486 nt
Filed under: uncultured bacterium
Lineage: Bacteria
Description: bacterial SSU rRNA
Rfam family: Bacterial small subunit ribosomal RNA
Source: RNAcentral